This 575-nucleotide unclassified non-coding RNA is filed under the name Neodiprion pinetum (white pine sawfly). Its description in RNAcentral is "uncharacterized LOC124222212, transcript variant X2". Lineage: Eukaryota; Metazoa; Arthropoda; Insecta; Hymenoptera; Diprionidae. The record is from RNAcentral.
UCUUCAUCCGCGCAAGUGAAACACCUCUACCCACCUCGAAAGUGAAUCAAAGACCUUCCACCGCACUCGUCUUUUCGCCUCACAUCGACCAGAUGAUAAUCCCGCCCUCUUCCUGGCUCGAUUACGUCGCUAAUCUCGAUCGGCCUCCCGCACCUGCUCGACGACGUAGACUUUUCCCUCGAGCCGGUCGCGAUCCUCAGCGUCAGGAUCACAAAGCGGACAUGGUCCCCGCCCUGGACUGGCCGCAAUCUCUGUCGGGGUGCGAAGUGCUCGAGAGGCAAGCGCCGAUCAACAGCGUUCGGAAAACUUUGCAUAUAAUGUACCUACUCACCGAACCAACGACUCACUGCUGGUAUGACGGGCUCCAAUUCUCUCGGGGCUACGGUCGGUAGACCUUAAAGCAAGGUGACGCAGAGGUGGGUCAUACCUGCUUGCUUCUACGGCCCAGCAGCCAGCCUGCAGGAUUUCUGACACCCGUUACUCGGAUUGGCACCCGGGCUAGGACACCGUGUGCAUUUCGAGGAUGGGUUACGAGAGCAGCUUCGCUUGAAAGCUAGUAUCGAGGAACAGGAAAG